GACGGGGGAUGCAAGCGUUAUCCGGAAUCACUGGGCGUAAAGCGUCUGUAGGAGGUGAUGCAAGUCACUGGUGCAAAACUCUGGCUCAACCGGAGGAAAGCCUGUGAAACUGCAUGACUAGAGUGUGGGAGAGGUAGAAGGAAUUCCCUGAGUAGCGGUGAAAUGCGUAGAAACAGGGAAGAACACCGGAUGAAAAACCGUUCUACGGGAUAUCACCUGACACUGAGAGACGAGAGCUAGGGGAGCGAAUGGG
RNAcentral lists this ribosomal RNA (253 nucleotides) under uncultured bacterium. RNAcentral's name for it is "partial 16S ribosomal RNA". It matches the Rfam family "Bacterial small subunit ribosomal RNA", at positions 524 to 776 of the family's 1533-position model. The record is from RNAcentral.